Molecule: ribosomal RNA, 497 nt
Filed under: uncultured bacterium
Lineage: Bacteria
Description: partial 16S ribosomal RNA
Rfam family: Bacterial small subunit ribosomal RNA
Source: RNAcentral
GAUGAACGCUGGCGGCGUGCCUAAUACAUGCAAGUCGAGCGAACAGAUGAGGCGCUUGCUCCUCUCACGUUAGCGGCGGACGGGUGAGACACAUGUGUAUAACCUCCCUAUAAGACUGGGAUAACUUCGGGAAACCGGCGCUAAUACCGGAUAAUAUAUUGAACCGCAUGGUUCAAUAGUGAAAGACGGUUUUGCUGUAUCUUCUAGAUGGAUCCGCGCUGCAUUAGCUGGUAGGUAAGGUAAAGGCCUACCACGGCUACGAUGCGUGACCGACCUGAGAGGGUGAUCGGCCGCACUGGAACUUAGACACGGUCCAGACUCCUACGGGAGGCAGCAGUAGGGAAUCUUCCGCAAUGGUCGAAAGCCUGACGGAGCAACGCCGCGUGAGUGAUGAAGGUCUUCGGAUCGUAAAACUCUGUUAUGAGGGAAGAACAAAUGUGUAAGUAGCUAUGCACGUCUUGACGGUACCUAAUCAGAAAGCCACGGCUAACUACGUG